This 505-nucleotide ribosomal RNA is filed under the name uncultured bacterium. Its description in RNAcentral is "partial 16S ribosomal RNA". It matches the Rfam family "Bacterial small subunit ribosomal RNA", at positions 28 to 507 of the family's 1533-position model. The record is from RNAcentral.
GACGAACGCUGGCGGCGUGCCUAAUACAUGCAAGUAGAACGCACAGUUUAUACCGUAGCUUGCUACACCAGAGACUGUGAGUUGCGAACGGGUUAGUAACGCUUAGGUAACCUGCCUGGUAGCGUGGGAUAACUAUGGGAAACGAUAGCUAAUACCGCAUAAUAUUAGUUAUUGCUUGGUAAUUAAUGGAAAGUGGCAAUGGCACCACUACCAGAUGGACCUGCGUUGUAUUAGCUAGUAGGUGAGGUAACGGCGCACGUAGGCGACGAGACAUCGCCGCACGGAGAGGGUGAGCGGCCACACUGGGACUGAGACACGGCACAGAGGCCUAGGGGAGGCAGCAGUAGGGCAUCUUCGGCAAUGGACGAAAGUCUGAGCGAGAAACGCCGAGGGCGUGAAGAAGGUUGUCGGAUCGGAAAGCUCGGUUGUAAGAGAAGGACGGGUGUGAGAGUGGAAAGUUCACACUGUGACGGUAUCUUACCAGAAAGGGACGGCUAACUACGUG